GGCCUGAUGGGUUAACAGCAAGA
RNAcentral lists this small nuclear RNA (23 nucleotides) under Arabidopsis thaliana (thale cress). Its description in RNAcentral is "snRNA_16967". Lineage: Eukaryota; Viridiplantae; Streptophyta; Magnoliopsida; Brassicales; Brassicaceae. The record is from RNAcentral.